ACCAGACUCCUACGGGAGGCAGCAGUGGGGAAUAUUGCACAAUGGGGGAAACCCUGAUGCAGCGACGCCGCGUGAGUGAAGAAGUCAUUCGUGAUGUAAAGCUCUAUCAGCAGGGAAGAAAAUGACGGUACCUGAGUAGGAAGCCCCGGCUAACUACGUGCCAGCAGCCGCGGUAAUACGUAGGGGGCAAGCGUUAUCCGGAUUUACUGGGUGUAAAGGGAGCGUAGACGGCAAUACAAGUCGGAAGUGAAAUACCCGGGCUCAACCUGGGAACUGCUUUGGAAACUGUAUGGCUGGAGUGCUGGAGAGGUAAGCGGAAUUCCUAGUGUAGCGGUGAAAUGCGUAGAUAUUAGGAGGAACACCAGUGGCGAAGGCGGCUUACUGGACAGUAACUGACGUUGAGGCUCGAAAGCGUGGGGAGCAAACAGGAUUAGAUACCCCGGUAUG
RNAcentral lists this ribosomal RNA (447 nucleotides) under uncultured bacterium. RNAcentral describes it as "bacterial SSU rRNA". It matches the Rfam family "Bacterial small subunit ribosomal RNA", at positions 330 to 793 of the family's 1533-position model. The record is from RNAcentral.